Molecule: long non-coding RNA, 1458 nt
Filed under: Homo sapiens (human)
Lineage: Eukaryota; Metazoa; Chordata; Mammalia; Primates; Hominidae
Description: HSALNT0370608
Source: RNAcentral
GGUCAGCUCAGAGGGAGCAGGUUGCAGCUGCCUACACCCCGAAGCCUGCGGCAUCCGGGGCUCUCCUGCCUUGUGCCCUCUGGAUCGUACUCACCUGUGGCCGUGGACCUUGGGCCUGGGAGGAUAGCGGUGAGCCCACCUCCCACGGCUCGCCUUCUGGGGCCGGCUGACUUGCUGGGCCAUUAACCAGCAAAGCCGCAGCAGCAAUAAAAUUAAUUUCCUUCCUAAUAUAUACAAGACUUUCUGCAGGAGAAUUAUGGACCGAUUUGAUCAAAGUGUGCAAAACCCAGCAGGAAGAUAGAAGACAAUAGAGCCGUGAUUUUGACCCAGCCUCCCAGGACACAGAUGGGGUGAAGAAAUCAAAGGGGCAAACAGAAUUUGCAGCCCAAGUUUCGAAGGGGCAGUUGGGAGACAUCUUUAGGCUUUCUGCAACCAAGCCACCGUCUUCCACACAGCAAGAGACAGUUACUCAGUGGAGGAAUAAGCCUUCAGUUGCAUACCGCUCUGUGCAUUGGAUGGGAGGAUUUUGAAACUUUUGGAAGCUCCAUACUGUGGCUUUAUUCCAUGAAUCCACCAGCGCUGUGCACCAAAGUUUCUCUGUGGAGGGAGAACAUAUUUUUGCAGAGCAAGUACAGAUAAGAGGUUGGGUGCCUGAAGCCUGGAUAAUAAUAGAAUGACAGCUGAUGAUUCAUCAGUGCUCUUCAGAGCCAGCUGAUAAUACGUUGCCAGCCUUUCCCCUUUGCUCAGACAGAACAGCCACCCUCACCCACGGGGAUUCCUGCCCAGAAGGAAUUUCCACAGCCCUGUACCAAGCAUGCUUAAAGUGGCUGCCAUUUAUGUGGGGUUUCCAUGUGCCAAGGGGCACGCCAAUGGUCCUUUACAUCAACUCACUUAAUCUUUAUAUCCUCAUGACCGCCCCAGGAGAUACAUAAUAACAUCUACAUUUUAUAGGCAGAGACAGAAGCUUGGCUCAGCAUAACAGAGAGGGAGUGUGGAGCAGUGGUCAGGAUCACAGCCAGUAAAUCCAGAUGACCUGGGUUCAAGUCCCAGUCCUGCCACUUCCCAGCUGUGGGCUUUUGCACAAGUCACAUGGUCUUCCUGUGUCUCAGCCCCCACCCCCCCAUCUGUAAACAAAACAACACUGUAAAAUAACAGUGUCUACCUCAUGGGGAUCUUGCAAAGAUCAAAUAAAGAGCUUUGAAGAACAUCUGACUUAUAGUAAGCUCUGUGUGAGCAUUAGCUCAGAGAUAGUUCUCAUGUUAAACUAAAUAAGUUGCCCAAAGUCACAUAGACAGAAAUUAGCAGUGCUGAUUGUGCAAACCUGCAUCCUGAAGUGAGGCCUUGGAACCAGGGUUGUCCUGGAGCUGGUUUUACCAGCUUGCAAGAGCCAACUGUUAAAUUCUCAGGACUUCUGUGAACCAGUUGUUAAACACAGACAUUAUUAAAAAUUAAAUUAUA